This 300-nucleotide unclassified non-coding RNA is filed under the name plant metagenome. Its description in RNAcentral is "partial contains 5.8S ribosomal RNA, internal transcribed spacer 2, and large subunit ribosomal RNA". The stretch from base 1 to 106 matches the Rfam family "5.8S ribosomal RNA", at positions 49 to 154 of the family's 154-position model. The record is from RNAcentral.
CGAAAUGCGAUAAGUAAUGUGAAUUGCAGAAUUCAGUGAAUCAUCCAAUCUUUGAACGCACAUUGCGCCCCCUGGUAUUCCGGGGGGCAUGCCUGUUCGAGCGUCAUUUCACCACUCAAGCCUCGCUUGGUAUUGGGCGACGCGGUCCGCCGCGCGCCUCAAAUCGACCGGCUGGGUCUUUCGUCCCCUCAGCGUUGUGGAAACUAUUCGCUAAAGGGUGCCGCGGGAGGCCACGCCGUAAAACAACCCCAUUUCUAAGGUUGACCUCGGAUCAGGUAGGGAUACCCGCUGAACUUAAGC